UUCGGUACACAACUCUUUCCUUAUGGUGAGAAUGAUCACGUUGAUAGUCCAUUACCCUGACUUCGGGCACGACCUCCUUCGACCUGCUCCUUUGUCGAUAAUCAUCUCGAUGCUGAGAGGUAACGACCAUUAUCGCCUUCUUCGAGGCCACGGGAGUUCUGCUCCUUGAUCUCCUCCUACUUCGAGAAUGAUCCCUAGAAACACAUAUGGAACGCUUCGGCUCCUUUCCCUUUCAUCGCGACUCCUCCUUAUGCCCACUUCAUCCUUCGGACCGAUCAUGGCUAAAUGCUUCGUCCCGUAAUUCCGCCACCCGAAGCAUCUAUUCGGCUAUAUCUUCUCUUUGCUUUAUCAGGACCUCCAUGGCUCUAUCUGCUUCGUCCGCCAUCUUCGCCAACUUGGCAGCUCUAUCCUCCUGGCUACUUCUAUGAUAAAUCUUGGUCGGUGAGCCUUCCACCUGUCCUCGACCAUGAUCUCGCUCCUCAUUCGCACCGAAAACCAAUCUUCGUCUGGCCCCGACAGGAAUCUUCGGACGGAGAUCCCCUGAAUUAUGCUUAGAAGCCGUGCUCUCGUGAGCACUUUUGGAAGGACCCAGACGAUCCUUCACCGAAACACGAGGCAGUGACGAGCUAACAG
Molecule: long non-coding RNA, 633 nt
Filed under: Panax ginseng (ginseng)
Lineage: Eukaryota; Viridiplantae; Streptophyta; Magnoliopsida; Apiales; Araliaceae
Description: long non-coding RNA (PGIN_LNC006574)
Source: RNAcentral